GACGAACGCUGGCGGCGUGCUUAACACAUGCAAGUCGAACGGAAAGGCCUGUCCUUCCUUGUGUUGGACGGGUACUCGAGUGGCGAACGGGUGAGUAACACGUGAGUGAUCUGCCCCCAACUUGGGUAUAAGCCUGGGAAACUGGGUCUAAUUCCCGAUAGGACUGCAGGGUGGUGCCUGUGGUGGAAAACGAUUUUCUAGUGGUUGGGGAUGAGCUCGCGGCCUAUCAGCUUGUUGGUGGGGUAAUGGCCUACCAAGGCGGCGACGGGUAGCCGGCCUGGGAGGGUGGACGGCCACAUUGGGACUGAGAUACGGCCCAGACUCCUACGGGAGGCAGCAGUGGGGAAUAUUGCACAAUGGGCGGAAGCCUGAUGCAGCGACGCCGCGUGGGGGAUGACGGCCUUCGGGUUGUAAACUCCUUUCGACCGCGAGGAAGCCGCCUGGUUGGAAGGGUGGUGACGGUAGUGGUAGAAGAAGCACUGGCUAACUACGU
RNAcentral lists this ribosomal RNA (493 nucleotides) under uncultured bacterium. RNAcentral describes it as "partial 16S ribosomal RNA". It matches the Rfam family "Bacterial small subunit ribosomal RNA", at positions 28 to 506 of the family's 1533-position model. The record is from RNAcentral.